This 492-nucleotide ribosomal RNA is filed under the name uncultured bacterium. RNAcentral describes it as "partial 16S ribosomal RNA". It matches the Rfam family "Bacterial small subunit ribosomal RNA", at positions 30 to 507 of the family's 1533-position model. The record is from RNAcentral.
AUUGAACGCUGGCGGCAUGCUUUACACAUGCAAGUCGAACGGUAACAGGCCUUCGGGUGCUGACGAGUGGCGAACGGGUGAGUAAUGCAUCGGAACGUGCCCAGAGGUGGGGGAUAACGCAGCGAAAGCUGUGCUAAUACCGCAUGUGAUCUGAGGAUGAAAGCGGGGGACCAAGCAGCAAUGUUUGGCCUCGCGCCUCCGGAGCGGCCGAUGUCAGAUUAGGUAGUUGGUGGGGUAAAGGCCUACCAAGCCGACGAUCUGUAGCUGGUCUGAGAGGACGACCAGCCACACUGGGACUGAGACACGGCCCAGACUCCUACGGGAGGCAGCAGUGGGGAAUUUUGGACAAUGGGCGCAAGCCUGAUCCAGCAAUGCCGCGUGCGGGAAGAAGGCCUUCGGGUUGUAAACCGCUUUUGUACGGAACGAAAAGGCUCUGGCUAAUACCUGGGGCUGAUGACGGUACCGUAAGAAUAAGCACCGGCUAACUACGUG